This 415-nucleotide unclassified non-coding RNA is filed under the name Zea mays. RNAcentral describes it as "misc RNA Zm00001eb312460". The record is from RNAcentral. Lineage: Eukaryota; Viridiplantae; Streptophyta; Magnoliopsida; Poales; Poaceae.
CGACCACCAGCUUCUUCCGAUCCUAUCCUCCAAUUUUCUCUUCCAAAGCUCCAAUCCCAAAGAACAAGACAGUUGUUGCCGGUGAGAUCGACUGGCCGGUCAGUGCGUCGGCGGCGAGGAGGGGUCGUCCGGCGACGGGACCAUGCCGCCGUGGGUGUUGGUGUUGGCAGUGGGGGGCCCGUAGUCCGUCGUCGUGUACGCCAUCAUCGCCUCCGGAAGCAGGCGGCCGCCGCCGAGGGGCGCGCGCCGCACCUGCACCUUCCGCGCUUCCACCAGCCCUGCGCUCCAUCACAACCCAACACAGCGACGGCAUCACUUAUACGGAAUCGGAAGAGCAGGCAGCAGCGCUAGCUAGCCUGGCCGGGCGCGCGGCGGCCGCGUCAACCUUACCUUGCGAGCAGGAGAGCACGAGGAG